This is a long non-coding RNA of Brienomyrus brachyistius, 1069 nucleotides long. RefSeq lists it as uncharacterized. The record is from RefSeq and is a predicted model, not a curated record. Lineage: Eukaryota; Metazoa; Chordata; Actinopteri; Osteoglossiformes; Mormyridae. The transcript has 4 exons.
UCCAGCAUGUCUGGCCAUGGGAACCCGAAUGCAGACAUAACGGGAGCGCAUCCCUGCCGAACCCCCUCGCAGAGGGACCUGCAUGGCUGGAUAGACUCAUCUAGGUCAUCAAGGCACACCGGAGCAAAGAGAGAGCACAGGAACUUUCUGGUGUCCGGGUGGCACUGCUUUUGGACCAGGGGGAUCCAGGACGAAGCCUGCUGCAGGACCUCCUUCAUGGUUUCGUGGCCGAGCAGGUUGGGCAGCCGCAUGUCGGUGUACUCCAUGUCGUGGCAGAGCAGCAGAGACGCAGGGAUCGGUUUGCAGUUGCUCCUCUUCUGAAACAGGAAAAGUGCCAAAGCAACAGUGAAAAGCUGAAAAGCAAAAUCAGGACGAUGUCUCACUGCAGAAUGUGGGAGAGAGUGCAGGACGGGGCAGAGGUAGAUCAUGUGUUAUCGGUGACAAACCACACAUUGAUGGUUCCUCCGUUUGGCAUAAAACCAAGUACUCAGGUGUGUUUGAAUUAUGAAUCUAUCUAUGCAUUAGACCGACAGACAGAUAAGUAUAGUAAUUAGCAUCCUAAAUACUGCACCUUAAUAUCUGUAAUCACUGUGCAAAUUGCUGAUGAUAUUGCUCGUGUUACAGUGCUACAAAUCUGAGAGAACUGCUACCUUUCACUGUGUGUUUCACUGGACUGAACAAACUGCUGGCACCGUAAAAGUGGAGCCAUUUCAUAUUCCCUGAUGGCGGAAGAGGUCAGACAGGAAGGCCUGGGAGUAUCGCCUGACAAACACUGGGCCAGGAUCCCGCAGGUGGUUUCCAUAAGUGCCGUGGCCCUGUUCAAACUAAGAAGAAUCCUAUCAAACUCGGGAGGACCAGGAGAAGUGGAUUUUUCAUUAAAUGUAGUUAUUUUACAUGAAAUGCAAAAAAGUACGCUGAUGAAGCACGGAAGGCCACUGCACACCGCAGUACGCUGACGAAGCACGGAAGGCCACUGCACACCGCAGUACCCUGAUGAAGCACGGAAGGCCACUGCACACCGCAGUACGCUGACGAAGCACGGAAGGCCACUGCACACCGCAGUACCCUG